Molecule: ribosomal RNA, 528 nt
Filed under: uncultured Acidobacteriota bacterium
Lineage: Bacteria; Pseudomonadati; Acidobacteriota
Description: bacterial SSU rRNA
Rfam family: Bacterial small subunit ribosomal RNA
Source: RNAcentral
UGGGGAAUUUUUCGCAAUGGGGGAAACCCUGACGAAGCAACGCCGCGUGGGGGAUGAAGGUCUUCGGAUCGUAAACCCCUGUCGACCGGGACGAAAGCAGUCUGACCCAAUACGUCGGGCUGUUGACUGUACCGGUGGAGGAAGCCACGGCUAACUCUGUGCCAGCAGCCGCGGUAAUACAGAGGUGGCAAGCGUUGUUCGGAAUUACUGGGCGUAAAGGGCGCGUAGGCGGCUGGGAAAGUUCUGUGUGAAAUCCCUCGGCUCAACUGAGGAACUGCACGGAAAACUGCCCGGCUUGAGUUCGGGAGAGGGAAGUGGAAUUCCGGGUGUAGCGGUGAAAUGCGUAGAUAUCCGGAGGAACACCGGUGGCGAAGGCGGCUUCCUGGACCGACACUGACGCUGAGGCGCGAAAGCUAGGGGAGCAAACGGGAUUAGAUACCCCGGUAGUCCUAGCUGUAAACGAUGAGCGCUGGGUGUGGGAGGUAUCAACCCCUCCGUGCCGAAGCUAACGCAUUAAGCGCUCCGCCG